This 253-nucleotide ribosomal RNA is filed under the name uncultured bacterium. RNAcentral describes it as "partial 16S ribosomal RNA". It matches the Rfam family "Bacterial small subunit ribosomal RNA", at positions 524 to 776 of the family's 1533-position model. The record is from RNAcentral.
UACGUAGGGUGCAAGCGUUGUCCGGAAUUAUUGGGCGUAAAGAGCUCGUAGGCGGUCUGUCGCGUCGGCUGUGAAAACUCGGGGCUCAACCCCGAGCCUGCAGUCGAUACGGGCAGACUAGAGUGCGGUAGGGGAGACUGGAAUUCCUGGUGUAGCGGUGAAAUGCGCAGAUAUCAGGAGGAACACCAGAGGCGAAGGCGGCCGACUGGACCUGACCUGACGCUGAGGCGCGAAGGCGUGGGGAGCGAACGGG